GUAGGUGGCAAGCGUUGUCCGGAAUUAUUGGGGCGUAAAGCGCGCGCAGGCGGUUCUUUAAGUCUGAUGUGAAAGCCCACGGGCUCAACCGUGGAGGGUCAUUGGAAACUGGAGAACUUGAGUACAGAAGAGGAAAGCGGAAUUCCACGUGUAGCGGUGAAAUGCGUAGAGAUGUGGAGGAACACCAGUGGCGAAGGCGGCUUUCUGGUCUGUAACUGACGCUGAGGCGCGAAAGCGUGGGGAGCAAACAGGAUUAGAUACCCUGGUAGUCCACGCCGUAGACGAUGAGUGCUAAGUGUUAGGGGGUUUCCGCCCCUUAGUGCUGCAGCUAACGCAUUAAGCACUCCGCCUGGGGAGUACGGCCGCAAGGCUG
RNAcentral lists this ribosomal RNA (373 nucleotides) under uncultured organism. Its description in RNAcentral is "partial 16S ribosomal RNA". It matches the Rfam family "Bacterial small subunit ribosomal RNA", at positions 527 to 896 of the family's 1533-position model. The record is from RNAcentral.